UUCGUUACGGAUAAACAUGGAACUCGAGUGACGCAGAUAUAUUCCUUGUUUAAAUUUGACUGAACAUUUGAUCGCAGUUACAGCUGGUGGUAAAGAACUAACAGUAGAAUUGCAGCAGGUGUUCAAAUACUUAUAGACGCUAGUGUAUACAUGUACUAUGAUUACGUAGAAUCGAAUCUAUAGUCUGUGCUACGUAUUUGACGAAAUCGCUUUAAAACGGUAGUCGAUUUGAACGCGUACGACUUUCACCGAACAUUAAAUCAUAUCGGUCAUUAUAAAUAAUAGCAAAUAGCAAUACAGUGUCGUGAUUGUUCAUAUCGAUGGCUUCGUAAGAUUGCCUAAGGGAACGAGUACGGAGAAGAAGCAGGAAUCGCGUAGAAUGGAAUGCGGCAGUUUCUACUCGAAAAAUCCGAGAGAAGGAAAAACUAAAAGCGUACAAGUGCAACGAACUGCGACGAGGACGAUUACGGAAUAUCGCGAGAGCCGACGGCGGCAGGAGGAAAACGUUGCGUCAAUUUGGCGGAGAUCCGACGUGCCAGCGGUCGAAAGAAAAACGCAUCCACGAGGCGAGCUUGGAGACAAGCCAACUCGUGUCGUUUCCAUUUACGCGAAACUUUUCAGCCGUGGUUCGCUACUCUCUGUGUCUAGAUGCUAUACGUUGUGUCCGUUGCACCAGGCUCGCGCUUUCUAACGGCGAAUUUACCUCGUUAAAUCGUGAGCAACGUACCGGACUCGAGAAAAACUAGCGUCCCCGUCUGUCCGCGUUGCUCACGAGGGGGAGAGAGGACGCACGCAACAGUUUCAACCCUGUGGAAAAUCGUCGGACAGAGAGCGAAGAGACAAAGGUCCGCGCGAUCCGUUCGACGCAUGGCAGUGGACCGACAUAAUAGUCGUUGUUGCAUUAUACUCCCCGGCUUCCCCUACGUAAUCGCGAUAUCGGUUCAACGGCCAUGCGAAAUUAACUUUCUCCGGCGCGGGUCUGCCAACGAGAAGCCCACUAGAAGCAGCAUGGUUACUACAUAUAUAUUAGAUUGCCAGCGAUGUGCUCGAACCGCUUUCAAACCGAUUCCAUCGCUUUUAAUAUCGAAUAUAAAGUAAAUUCGAUUAACCGGUUUUCUCUUCAGUGGGCUAUUUGAUUAAUAACGCGGUGAAUGGUUAACGUAGACCGGAUACAAUGCCACUUAAUCGGCAUGGCGAAACUGCAUAGAUAUUGAUAUUAUUAACGUACGGUUGAGGAUAACCAAGACUGAUUUUAUGACUUCGGUCCAUGCUGAUAGGAUAUUUACGUUGUGAGGAUCAGUUGUAGAGGACGAGUAGAGGUUGCUCUUCAAGUAUAUUAUUUCUGCAAUACUACGUUGAUUCUAUAAUUGGAUGUUGCUUUGUAAUUAAUUGUUAAAGUGCUAUAUAUUUGUAAUUUUAAGUGUAUCUAAUGUGUUAAUCGAGAAAGUUCAGCUAACGGCUUAUUUAUUUAGAAAUCCCCUAUCUUUUUAUGCCACAAAUACCGUUACAAAUCAAUUACAUUUACAAGGAUUAAAACUGUCCUAACCAAAAUUCAUCCAUCUUCGAUACCAAUCUUUUGUUUCGUAAUUACAGAAGUGGUAGAAUUAAGAAAUAAUUUCUUUAACAAGGAUAAAAUUGAAUAUGAAAGUUACCGUUUAAUUUUAAAGUUUUCAAGACCUCGAGUGUAUCAGUGAAUCGUAAAGCAUUCGAGUGGUUCUAAAAGCGAACGUGGCUCGUAAGAUUUCGAGUUGCCAUUGCUGGCGUUGCGCAGGAAUCGGAACAACAGGUCGAUGCAAUUAGUCACUGGAUACCGUGAUUCCCACACGGUGAUUCCUUUUCGAAUGGGGUUAGGGGACAUAGGUCAGGAACGAUUCAUUUGUCCAAUCGAAGUCUGAAAAUAUUUCAUUAUAUGUUAGAAAAAUUUCAAAAGAUUGUUCACAUCAAAAUCUUGAUAAUACGCAUAACGAAACGGGCAUAAAAAUUGUAAUAUACAAACCGAUUUAAUGAGGUUAUACAAUGCAUCGGGUUGCAUCACAUAAUCGCAAUGUUUGUUAACUGGCCUAACAUCGAAGCACAGUAACAAUGCUAAACGCGAACAUGUUACUUUCUCCUCGACCGAUUAUUUUACAUACGAACUAUUCGCGCUUGUAAAAUUAACCGUAUGAAUCGUAAGAAGCGUCCGUUGAGGAAACCAAUUUAACUAAAAGCUGUUCGAGCAGAGAGAAACGGUAACUUCGUAAUAUUUGAAAUUUUUAUACUGACGCUUUAUGGGUAAUUCGUCCCUCUGGCGGUGAAUAUGAAAACUACGAAUGUAGUGAACGUAAACAUUUGAAAAUUAAAAAAUUCUAAACUAAAACUCUUCGAUUCGAAAAUUUCAGAAGCUCAGAAAUAUCCAAAAUCUGAGAUUCGUAAGAUUUGAAAACUUGAGAAUUACAAAAUUUUUAUGUUCGAAAAUUCUAAAAUUCAUCUAAUAUGUUACAGAUACUAAAAGUAGAUUACAGAGUUAACAGGUUGAAUUUAAGCGAGCACGCAAAUGCCUCUAACAGCUGACGAUUGCUCUCUUUCCGUUCAACGAUAUUAGAGAAAUUCGCACGUUGUCUCCACACGUGGUAACGCACAGCUAAAUAUACGCGACUAAUGACUGUUACGAAAUGUCAAGCAGAAGCUGCCGAGUAGUGGGUCAGUCGUAAAGUCAGAUUCUGUUUCGCGUGUAUUCCCUAACAAGCGAUUAGUUUCGAGGAGAAAGGUGUCGAUUUUCAAUGGGUAUCGAUUUUCAAUGAGUAUCGAUGAUCGAGUCUGUACGCAACAAAAUGGUUGUACUCGCUACAUUUUAACUUUAUUUAAGUAAAUCAUUACGUUACAAAAUAAAUUAGACAUAAAAUAAAUUGCCCGUCAAUAACAAUUCUUUGCAAUGUGAAGACUUAGAAAGUUCUAUCGCGAGAUAUGUGAAGCGGAAAAACUUAGAAUUGACCCUCUCAACUGGAGGCGAGACAAAAACAGCGUACGGAUCUUUAAGAUGAAAUAUACAGUGGUUUAUUUUUAGCCACAUUUUAUGAACAUAUUAUAUUUCAAAUUGUACCGAUAUAAUCAUAUGUUGUUAUAAUACCAAUGGAAUAUCAAAAUGUUUUACGUAACACAUACAAUACGGAUAUAAAAGUUUUCUAUGGGGGUUAUUGAGGAAAUCGAUGAUGGAGAUCUAUUCUUUGCCGGAGGAACAAGCUAGUAGAAGGAAAUAUCGACGAAAGUUCGCUGGCGGCUGGUAUAUACUGCGCAAAUGCUCUCCCGCCUCUCGGAAUAUUACUUGGUUGCCCAAGGUUGCCGUUCGUUCUGCUCACGACUCGAGCAUUAUGCUCGUGUAUAGAUAUAUCAGCUACGCACUUACAGCAAUAUACCUCUACACCAACGUAUUUACGAUACACGCUUAGAAGAUCUAUCUCUUUAUCGCGCACAUACACCAGGAGAGUACAUAUCAGCGUUUCCCAACCAUUAUUCUAUUCCAUUAAAAUGUUUACCUAUCACGUGCAAUACGUGUUUUCUUCAUCGUUAACUAUAGUAUAAUGAGACAUUCGAUGAAGCUGGUGAAUAAUUCAAGAUGACUCUAACAGGUUGAACCGAGACAAAGUCGAGCUGAAAAACGAGAUUGGGAAACUCUGUAAGCGCAAUGCACCUAUUCUUUGUUCAUUUCUCGGCUUUUAAGAGCGUGCCUUGCAUCGGUGCACGGCAAUUAUUGACGUGUGUGUGAAAACCAAGAGAUACAUCAAGCACCGUAUGUUCUAUGUAUGUAUAUACGAGAGUAUAUGCGCGUCUGAUUGGUACCAGGACUACCAGGGCCUCUCCCUUCCGAACAAACGACGAUGGUUCAAGUUGGUCGCUUACACGACACGGAUCAACGAUUUAACGUGAACAGAAAACAGAACAGUCUCUCUCGAUCUCUGCGGUCGGAUCGUUCCAAAUCGAUCGAUCGCUUCCCCGAUACGCGGAAUCUCACUUUCUCUGAAACUCUGUUUUCUUUUCCCUUUGUCUUACUGUUCACUGUAAAACAUGUUUUGAGAAUUAAUCGAGAUAUAAAAACAAUAUCAGGCAAAUCUUAAUUCGAAAAUGGAAGAAUAAUUACUUAUCCACUUGGAGAAAUCAUUUUCCAUGAAGAAAAAUACGGGUAGUUCCUGUUUCUUUUAGAAUGUUCGUCGGUAAGAAACAGUAAUACAAAAAACCAUUCGUAAUUUUUAUGUUAACGAAUGAGUAGAUUAAUUACUUCCCGUUUCAUAGCGUUUUUGAUAUAAAGACAUAUUCUCGUUCGUAUGUGUAUGUAAUAUGUCAUACUGAUAUGACUGAGAUGUCGUUUGAUGAUAUUGAUAUCUUAUAUAUUAUUUUCGUUCAUAUAUAUCUAUAUAUAACAUAUAAAUGUAUAUAUCAUUAUACACAUAUGAACGACACCUUAUACAUAACAAAUCAUUGUCUUUCUAUAGUUGAGAAUCGAUUGAAAGUUUGUCCAUUUAUAAUCUGAUUAAAUAAUGCACGACCGCGCACGUUGCUUUCUAAUCAUUUAUUUACGCGAAUAUUUUCGACGUGGAAACGCAUCUACUAUAAUCGUAAACUCUAUAGAAGCAUUAUUCGUGGAGUUGAAUUGCUUUCGUUUACAUAAUCUACGUCUUCCGUAAGCACAGCGUGUAAACUGACCGAUAGAAUUCCUGUAAAUGGAAAUUUUUAUUGAAUAAUCUCUACGAAGAGAUUGGUUCUUUACAAAGAACACGAUAACAAUGACGUGUUAAAGAUAAUGUUUCAUUUCAUUGAUUGCACAACCCAGAACAAUUACGAAGCAUCGAAGAUUUGUAUUUUGUUAUGAAUGAUCAUGAAAAAUUAAGUAUUAAAAUAUGUUAAUUCAAAUAAAAGAGAUACUCAUUAUCGAAAAUGGAGAGUAUAGCAGUAAAUAAGUUAAUCAAAGAGAAUUAAGAAUCGAGAAAUUAAUGACAUAAAAUCUAUAUUCGAAACGCUGCUGCUUAAUGCUGCAUAAAUUCGCGCUACCUUAUGUCCGAACGUGUUAAAGUACUGUUCCUUUCAAUUGCGUUGGCCUUGAGGUUAGUAGACAAGGAACGACGCAAUUCUCACAAUUAAUGCUUCUUUGUCCGAUCUUCUUUCACGCUCUAUUAUCGUUCGACUUUAUGUUGUAACGUACUCUGAAGGUUAAUAAAAGAAACUUCUAAUUUGUUCUUUUAUUACAAUUUAAUUACUUCCAUCACCUAGACAUAUUGUAUAUACGUUUUUAUUCGUGGAAGACGAAUUUACGGACUAUACCUAACGACACCUAUAAUCUACGACCAAUGAACCGUCGCCUCCACUGUCGAUAAAUCAGAUAAUCUUUCAACGCAUUACAAACCAGCCCUUAAAAAAUGUCAACAUAUAAAAUAUUAUCUUUAAGUUUAAUCUGAUAUAGUUAUGAUUGAAGUAAAAGGCGUAAGUAAAACAGUGGCAUAAAAAUAACAAAACGAUAAUAAAAAUAAUGAAAAUAAUGAAAAUUCGACGAUAACAGCUGUCAAGACACACUGUUUAGAAGCGUAGAUUGCGCGCGUACAGCUGAUAAUGAUUAUAAUCUUGAAAGAAAAGAGAUAACCUUAAAAAAUAACAAUCACUACAUACGUAUUGUGACUAUUAGUAUAUCUGAAUCAUAUCUUUGACAUAUCGUCAUACAUGAGUAUUUCGAUACGCAACACGUUCGAAUCUUGUAACAGGGACUUCAGCUUACAACUUGUUACUAAAACGAAUGAAAUAUUUGUGUCUGUGAUAUAACCAAACAACGUUAUAUUAAACGCACGUUACUUAGGUGGAUCGAUCGAACACGAGUUUGGAAAGAUUGAAUGAGAGCGGAACGAAGACGCAGUACAAGAAUACCAUGAAGGAAUAGGGUCAAGGAUCCCACGACUAAGCUUAUGACAAACAGAUUAUUAUUUUAUAGAAGAAGAUAAACUCACUGUUUCCUCCUCUUACUACGUGCUUUGGCCCUCUGAUAUCGCUCGGGUAUCCGGUGGUUUAGCGAUUGAUGAGGCUCCGAGCAAUAUCCUGGUUAGAUGCACUCGCGAUUUUCGUCUGCGAUCAUGAAGCGAGAUCGGUCUGUUG
Bombus pascuorum is the source of this 6111-nucleotide long non-coding RNA. RefSeq lists it as uncharacterized. Lineage: Eukaryota; Metazoa; Arthropoda; Insecta; Hymenoptera; Apidae. The record is from RefSeq and is a predicted model, not a curated record. The transcript has 7 exons.